Molecule: long non-coding RNA, 741 nt
Organism: Nyctereutes procyonoides (raccoon dog)
Lineage: Eukaryota; Metazoa; Chordata; Mammalia; Carnivora; Canidae
Exons: 5
Source: RefSeq, a predicted model, not a curated record
CACACACCCUGAGGAGAGAUCACUUACAAACCAAGAAAGAGGCCUCAGGAGAAACCAACACUGCCAACAGGGUUGAUCUUGGACUCCCGUCCUCCAGAACUAUGAGAAAAUGAAUUUCUGCUGUUUAAGUCAGCCUGUGGAAUUUUUUAUGGAAGCCUUAGGAAACUAAUACAGGCCUGAGACCUGAAACUGAUACCCCGGUGCUCAUGGCUUAGACUUCCACAGGGCACUUGGCACUCAAUGAGGGGAGUCUGAGAAGACAAUUAGGUUGUGCUGCUUCUCCACAGAAAAUGGGGAAAGCCGUGGUACUCCUCCCUGAUGAACUGACACUCAGCUGCUAUGUCUUCAGGAUGUCAUUGUGACCUGGAAGAGCCACGGAGAGUGGAGAAUCCUGGACACCUUUCCCAACACAAGUCCUCUCUCCCAUCCGUGCAUGAAUCAUGUGCCUUUCCUGAGAACCUUUCAUUAUUCUUCCCCAACCAGAAGCAAUGAGGCAAGGCCAAGCCUUAUGAGGAUUCUCCUGACACCCUUGCCUCUCUGGGUUUGGAGGAACAAAGCAUCUGACCCUCUGCAAACUGCAUUUCCUACCACAGGCUGCCUUCUCCCCUCUCAGUAGCAUCAUACCCCUUGAGGAGAAAGCCAGCUCCAACAGCUAGGGAAGACAGGAAGAAGCCAAAGCAAAAUUCACGCUGGGCCUAGUGGAUCCUCCCUUUAAAAGCCAUUGAUGCCUUGUGGUGGAGG